GAUUUUUUUUGGCCACGCCCCAGCCUCAGUCUUCUUCCCCGCGUGUGCAGCCGCUGUCUUCUUUCUCCCUGCGUGCUCCUCUCUAACCAGCCGUUCCUCUUCUCCCUCAGCUCGCGCCCUGAAGUUUCCCCUGCCGGCGUUCGGCUUCUGCUCGUCGGACCCCGUCCCGAGCUCGCCCCCAUGGCGUCCAGUGGAGUUUCUCCUCGCCGACGCUGCUCCUUCCUGCCCCAGCGCCUGCUGCGAGCUCGCCAGGAUGCCCCUGCUCGCGGCGCCCUCUGCUCAAGCUCGUCGUCCUGCGCCGUCAGUCGACCUUGCCGUGAAGCCCUGGCCGGUGCGGUGGUAGCGCCCAGCCCCCAGCGUUGGCCCCUCGCAUGGCGCUGCUCCCUGGCUUCUCUCUCUCCCUCCAUCUCUCUCUGCGUCGGCCUGCCUCAGCUCGGAUCUCCCUCCCCAGCCGAGGCCCUUCUUCCCUGGUCUCCCAUGGCCACCGUUCUUCAGUCGAGCUCCUCAGCGCCGAAGGCUCAGGUCCCUGCCGAGCUCGUCUCGAGCUCCCGCCCACCCUCUGCCCAGCCCCAGCGCCCAGCCCAUGUGUCUGGUGCUUCUACCUGCUCAGAUUUGGUGACCGUGUCCCCUGGUUCUUCAAGUUUGUCGCUGUCCCUGCUUGCCUCGGCACAGUUGGGUCCGACCACCACCCCCAUGUCGACGGUGCCCUCGAUUCGUCGGUGCCCAGGCGUGCAUCCUCUGCACCGGCUAUUCUCGCCCAAAUUCACCCCUGCACUUGGUCCUCGUCGAGGAUACGUCGCCCUCCACUCGGUUCAUGGCGCUCGGCCUCCAGCUCGCGAAGCUUCCCUGGUGGCCGCUUCCUCGUCGUUUUCUAUAGUCGCGCCCGGCCGAGGUUCCUCCCUGCGUGCGCAAGCUCUGUUGCGAGCGCCGAUCCGUACCCACAAAGCCUCGUCGGUGCUCAAUUGGCUCGAACCCUCUGCUCGGACCUUUCUUCCGUGGCGCUCAGCUCGGCCAGAUGCGACCUCGCCUUGGCUCUCUGUCCCUACUGCGCUCGCCAGUCGGACUCCUGGCCAUCGUCAACGAAUCUCGCGAUCACAGCUCUCUGUUGCUCAACCGGCGACUCGCUACUCGUCUUGCUCCAGCCUCCAGGUACGUUAAUUAAUCGCGCGAUGCGGAAGACAAGCCAAGUCGACCCCAAGCACGGACUAAUCCACAGGAUGAAGCUGAUGAACGAACCUGCCUAAUCAAGUGCUAGGACAUGAAUAAUCGUCAAGUGGACGUCAUCUAACAACACUAACCUAGUGUUACUCAGGUCCUAACUUUGUGAUGCUGUUGAUGGUGUUAAGUGCCGGUGGGCUCGGCCUUCUUAUAAGUCUAAGUACUCCUUCUAUACUUCUUAUUGAGGAUGGUCAUUUGAGCUAGCAUAUAUUUCAAACUUAUACUUUUGUAAUCACUCCGAUAAAAUAAUAUAAAAUUUUUG
Molecule: unclassified non-coding RNA, 1480 nt
Filed under: Zea mays
Lineage: Eukaryota; Viridiplantae; Streptophyta; Magnoliopsida; Poales; Poaceae
Description: misc RNA Zm00001eb060600
Source: RNAcentral